Cladorrhinum sp. PSN259 is the source of this 116-nucleotide non-coding RNA. Lineage: Eukaryota; Fungi; Ascomycota; Sordariomycetes; Sordariales; Podosporaceae. The record is from the annotation of a GenBank genome assembly.
GGCUGGAUGGCCGAGUGGUCUAAGGCGGUAGACUCAAGAUUCAUAAUCUUCCUCGGAAUAAUCUGAGGUGUAUUCUACUCUCGAAAGAGGCGCGCGUUCGAAUCGCGCUCCAGUCA